This is a non-coding RNA of Pelobates cultripes (western spadefoot toad), 219 nucleotides long. The record is from the annotation of a GenBank genome assembly. NCBI's taxonomy places the organism in Eukaryota, Metazoa, Chordata, Amphibia, Anura, Pelobatidae.
CCCAAAGUGUAAACACAAAGAAACACAAUUAAAAACCUCUUCUAACUUUUCUGGCAUAUUCUGCAGCAUCUAGAAUUAACCCAUGCUUAACCAACCCCUAGCACUGUAAGGGUUAAAUGAUCAUCAGUUCUUGUUUUCUUUCUAAGAAAGCGUGCCAAUACAUAUUUGACAGCAAGUAUUCCCUCCCCUGGAUUUGAGAUGGUGAGAAAACAAAUUAUA